RNAcentral lists this ribosomal RNA (461 nucleotides) under Escherichia coli. RNAcentral describes it as "bacterial SSU rRNA". It matches the Rfam family "Bacterial small subunit ribosomal RNA", at positions 1065 to 1526 of the family's 1533-position model. Lineage: Bacteria; Pseudomonadati; Pseudomonadota; Gammaproteobacteria; Enterobacterales; Enterobacteriaceae. The record is from RNAcentral.
UUGUGAAAUGUUGGGUUAAGUCCCGCAACGAGCGCAACCCUUAUCCUUUGUUGCCAGCGGUCCGGCCGGGAACUCAAAGGAGACUGCCAGUGAUAAACUGGAGGAAGGUGGGGAUGACGUCAAGUCAUCAUGGCCCUUACGACCAGGGCUACACACGUGCUACAAUGGCGCAUACAAAGAGAAGCGACCUCGCGAGAGCAAGCGGACCUCAUAAAGUGCGUCGUAGUCCGGAUUGGAGUCUGCAACUCGACUCCAUGAAGUCGGAAUCGCUAGUAAUCGUGGAUCAGAAUGCCACGGUGAAUACGUUCCCGGGCCUUGUACACACCGCCCGUCACACCAUGGGAGUGGGUUGCAAAAGAAGUAGGUAGCUUAACCUUCGGGAGGGCGCUUACCACUUUGUGAUUCAUGACUGGGGUGAAGUCGUAACAAGGUAACCGUAGGGGAACCUGCGGUUGGAUCAC